ACGGAGAGAGAGGAAACGAACCAAACAACGCGUUCAUCCAUAACAUUGAUUAGUAUAAUAAACUAGAGGUCGACCGAUUAUGAUUUUUCAACACCGAUACCGAUUAUUGGGGGACCCAAAAAAAGCCGAUACCGAUUAACCGGCCGAUUUCUUUUAUUUUUUUUACAUCUAUUUGUAAUAAUGCCAAUUACAACAAUACUGAAUGAACACUUAUUUUAACUUAAUAUAAUACAUCAAUAAAAUCAAUUUAGCCUCAAAUAAAUAAUGAAACAUGUUCAAUUUGGUUUAAAUAAUGCAAAAACAAAGUGUUGGAGAAGAAAGUAAAAGUGCAAUAUGUGCCAUGUAAGAAAGCUAAUGUUUAAGUGCCUUGCUCAGAACAUGGGAACAUAUGAAAGCUGGUGGUUCCCUUUAACAUGAAUCUUCAAUAUUCCCAGUUAAUAAAUCUCAAGAUGAGCAUACACAUACCUGCUGCGUUUUGGUCCUCCAUUACCGACGACAACCGUGACAGAAUCACCCACCAACUAUGGACCAAGCAGCAGAAGAAGGAGCAGAGGGACUUCGAGUUGGACUGGCGGGAGAAGUGGACCUGGGAGGAAGUUCUGGACGGGGCCGGACCUUGGCACCAGGCUGAGGAUUAUCGCCGCCCGCAGUGGGAAAUUGAGGCAGCCAAGGCAUAGAGGCGUAGGUACGAG
RNAcentral lists this long non-coding RNA (692 nucleotides) under Salmo salar (Atlantic salmon). Its description in RNAcentral is "lncRNA (ENSSSAG00000099985.1, ENSSSAG00020068408.1)". Lineage: Eukaryota; Metazoa; Chordata; Actinopteri; Salmoniformes; Salmonidae. The record is from RNAcentral.